This 433-nucleotide ribosomal RNA is filed under the name uncultured bacterium. RNAcentral describes it as "bacterial SSU rRNA". It matches the Rfam family "Bacterial small subunit ribosomal RNA", at positions 28 to 444 of the family's 1533-position model. The record is from RNAcentral.
GACGAACGCUGGCGGCGUGCUUAACACAUGCAAGUCGAACGAGAAGAGAUGAGAAGCUUGCUUCUUAUCAAUUCGAGUGGCAAACGGGUGAGUAACGCGUAAGCAACCUGCCCUUCAGAUGGGGACAACAGCUGGAAACGGCUGCUAAUACCGAAUACGUCUUUUGUCGCAUGGCAGAGGGAAGAAAGGGAGGCUCUUCGGAGCUUUCGCUGAAGGAGGGGCUUGCGUCUGAUUAGUUAGUUGUGGGUAAUGGCUACCAAGACUACGAUCAGUAGCCGGACUGAGAGGUUCAACGGCCACAUUGGGACUGAGAUACGGCCCAGACUCCUACGGGAGGCAGCAGUCGGGAAUUUUGCGCAAUGGAGGAAACUCUGACGCAGUGAUGCCGCGUAUAGGAAGAAGGUUUUCGGAUUGUAAACUAUUGUCUGCAGGG